CAUGAAGCUGGAUUCGCUAGUAAUCGCGCAUCAGCCACGGCGCGGUGAAUACGUUCCCGGGCCUUGUACACACCGCCCGUCAAGCCAUGGAAGCCGGGGGUGCCUGAAGUGCGCUGCCGCAAGGAGCGCCCUAGGGUAAAACCGGUGACUGGGGCUAAGUCGUAACAAGGUAUC
This 174-nucleotide ribosomal RNA is filed under the name uncultured bacterium. Its description in RNAcentral is "partial 16S ribosomal RNA". It matches the Rfam family "Bacterial small subunit ribosomal RNA", at positions 1319 to 1500 of the family's 1533-position model. The record is from RNAcentral.